CCGGUUGGGGCGGCUACCACAUCCACGCUGGGAGGGACGAUGACGGCGACCACAUCGGCGACCCAUUGGGACGGCUACCACACCCCUCCGUCAAGGGGACAUUGGAGAGUAUGGUGCAGGAGACCUGGGAGAACUUGAAUCAUCGCAUCUUGAACUGCUUCCUCCAGCAGCUCCAAAAAAGACAGAUGAACCAACCGGCGAUGAUGGACCACCGAGCAUACCUCCUCCGAGAAAGGCUUGUGGAUACUGCCCAACAUUUCCUUGGUAAGGAGCGCCAAGUUGCUGGUAGCUUGGUUGAUGCCCAGCCAUGAGUUGUUGGUAGCUUGGUUGAGGCCCAGCCAUGGGUUGCUGGUAGCUUCCUUGGCCUGAAAAAGGCAUGUAAUUCUGUGGGUGGUGAGGCUGGAAACCAUAGUGAUGUGGUGGAAAAUUCAUCUGAAAAUGGGGUGGUGGGUAAGCUGGGAUCUGCUGCUGUGCGAUAUCCUCUUUGUUUUGUGUAUUUGGUGUGGGAUUUGUGUUGAGCAGGUCAGUGAAGGGGGUUGAUGAAUUUUCCAUGGUUC
Molecule: long non-coding RNA, 557 nt
Organism: Lolium rigidum
Lineage: Eukaryota; Viridiplantae; Streptophyta; Magnoliopsida; Poales; Poaceae
Exons: 2
Source: RefSeq, a predicted model, not a curated record